Agrilus planipennis (emerald ash borer) is the source of this 642-nucleotide long non-coding RNA. RefSeq lists it as uncharacterized. The record is from RefSeq and is a predicted model, not a curated record. Lineage: Eukaryota; Metazoa; Arthropoda; Insecta; Coleoptera; Buprestidae. The transcript is spliced from 3 exons.
UAAUAUUUAAGAUGAAACUAACAUUCAAUGUUUCAACAGGUUAUUAUUUAAACACAUUAAACGAACAAGAAGACAAAAAUUGAGAAGGAUUCGAAUACUGGAGAAGUGGAGCCCUGUUACUGCUCAUUCCCUGAUAGAUGCAAUUUUUAGAAAAUACAUGCAGUCCAAUUCACACCGAUGUGUAUAAAGUUGCAUAAGCGAUGUUCUAUCUUCUGCUGUAUGGCUCAUUUCACCAUCAUAAGCAUCUAUUGUGAGAGGCACUUCUCUGUACAGUAAUCCUAGAGUUCAACAAACGAGAGAAUUAAAGCUGACCAUGCUGAACCAAUCAAUGUCUGUAAUCGUAUCAUCAUUCCUGGAUUAAAUUCUUCAUUUGCUGUUUUCGUCUUUAACUUACAACAUUAUGCAAUGAAUAUUCAACAGAUGAGUGAGAGCAAGAGGAGAUUUAUUUAAAUUCCAUUGAAACAAGUUUUCUGCAAACUUGGGCACGUUACAGUGUACUGUUUCUUAAGGUCAACGGUGGAGAAGACAAAGAAGACCCCGUAGUUAAAAUACCUGUGUAUCUUGUAUGUCCUUUUGUUAUUAGAAUUAAUAAUUUUUUAUUUUGCAUGUUUUUUGUAGUUUAUUUGAAUUAAUUUUUGAUUG